This is a long non-coding RNA of Lucilia cuprina (Australian sheep blowfly), 692 nucleotides long. RefSeq lists it as uncharacterized. The transcript has 3 exons. The record is from RefSeq and is a predicted model, not a curated record. Lineage: Eukaryota; Metazoa; Arthropoda; Insecta; Diptera; Calliphoridae.
AAAGUCGACUUCAGUUAUACGGAAGCAAUACGACCGACCGGCAAACUAACGCUUAACUAGUGCUCAGCAAAAUUUUUUUUUUAGUUAAAACGACGACGACGACUCUUGUACUUUUUAGUUAAAGAAAAUAAUUAAAAUUUACGCAUAAAUAUAAACUAAAUAAAAAGCGCGUUUCUUUAGUUUUGGAUUUUUUGUUGUUUUUCAUUUUUCUUGUGUUCGUUUUACAGGCUGAAAAUAAAUAAAUAAUAAUUAUAAAGAAAGCUUUAAUUGUUGUUUUCUAAAGUGAUAAUUGAAAGUGUUACCAAUUAAAAUAGCCGAAGAAGAAGAAACUGAAAAAAAGGAAUAAAAGUUUAAAAGUAGAAAAAAAUCUAGGAAAAGAAGAUUGAAAUAAAAUAAAAAUUGAAGCAACAGCAAAUAACCUGUUUUUAGUGCCUAUUAUCGUUUUCUUAAAACAAAAAGUAAAACCUAAAAAGUUUUAAUUUCAUUUUGCAAUUCUAUAUCAUUUGAAAGGCUUUUUUGAAGUGACAAAAACAUCAUAAAAAAAACAACUUAAACAAAUAAGUAUCAACAUUAAUAAGUCCAGUUAUUUACUGUUUUAAAGUGUCUUUUGGUAAAAAAAAAAUCAAUUUAUUCCUAACUAAAACAAAGUCUGCCUGCCAAUAUUUAAUUUUUUCAAUUCUCAAAUUAAAAUC